RNAcentral lists this long non-coding RNA (1262 nucleotides) under Lathyrus oleraceus (garden pea). Its description in RNAcentral is "Pisum sativum (pea) long non-coding RNA (PSAT_LNC010176)". The record is from RNAcentral. Lineage: Eukaryota; Viridiplantae; Streptophyta; Magnoliopsida; Fabales; Fabaceae.
GAGAGAGAGAGAGUUAACAUAUCAAACUCUAUUAAUUGAUCAAAAUGAAAAAGUUAUUAGAGGUUAAUUUAAUUUGUUAGUCCUUGAGGACUGUGAUUCAGUUAGGGGUUAUUUUCUGUUAAACUCGAUUUUGAAGCUGUUAGUUAAGUUUUCAAAUGUUAGUUAAAUUUGAGUUCAAUUAAUGAUAGUUAGUGAAGUUGUUAGUUAUGACUGGUUGAUGCAGGAAACUUAUUGAACUGGAGUUAUAUGGAAAGGAUAUGGGUUGCAAAAAGGUGAUGGCAUGCCAAACGAGUUUUGGUUCAAAUGCAGGUCGUGUUGGUUUGAUCAGUUGCUUGGCAAACAUGGUGAUGACCUGUUGAUGUAGGUUGCAGGUAAAAUGCCAAUAAGUUCCGUUUGACUGAUUGGCAAAUUACAGGCUUGUAUGAUGCAGAUGAUGACCUAUUGAUGCAGGUUUUGAUGUAUUGUUGCAGAUUUGGGGUUGAUUGGCAAAUUGCAAGUGUAUGUUUGAGUUGUUUUGAUCAGUGCAAAUUGCUUAAUUUGCAGGUUAUACGUUAUGGGAUUGACAACUAAGAAUCCAUCAUAAAGACCUGCUUGAAAGGUAAAAACCUAUUAUCUUCUACACAUGAAUUGAUUUAUAUAUGGUUUUGUGUAAUGCCUCAUGUUACCAUGUUGAUAUUGGUUGGUACCCUCUUGCUGAAGUGAAUGUAUGCCUACCUAAUUGAAAUUUGCAUUGCUUGUCUAUUGCAUCAUGCUUGUUUGGAUGAAAUGCAUUUACAUGGUGUAUGUUUGUUAGGACAAAUGUGAAUGAUGUAUUAUGUAUAUGCCUUAAAUCAUGUGUGUAUAAUGUAUGUUUUUUGAUUGAAUUGUUAAAUGUUAAGUGCAGGGUUGGCAUGUGAACAUGACUUCAAGGUAUCGCAAGACAUGGCAAUUUGAAUGUCAAAAACAAGGCUUAGCACAAAGAUGGUUUUCUUGCUCAUGAAGGAAUUUGGUAAUAGAAUCACAUGGAAACAUGGGAAGUGAUAUGUAUUUCAAGUAGGCAUUAGGGUUAGGUCAUUAGAAUAUGUCAGUUGAAUUUGGCCAACUGCUUGACCAAAAAGUCAACAGUUGACCAAAAGUCAAAUGUAGGUCAACUCUAUAUUUUUUUUGUAUUUUUAUUGCAUGGAUAAUGUAAAUGAUAAUUGAAUGAGUGAAUAGACAUUAUUGGAUGAAAUGAUUUAAAGAACCAUGCCUUAUUUUCCUAUUUAUGACCUUGCCUUCAAAAA